GGGUUGUAGGUUUGUCAGUUUGGCUGAUGAGGGUGAUGUUAAUUCAGCGGAAUGAGCAUCGCAUGGAUUAGCGAUCUUCAGCAUCGCAUCAUGAGGUGACUGGAUGAAAUUAUUUGUCAGUCCACUCUCAGUGAAGGCAUUAACAUCAGAUAUCUGGUACAGAGGACCUUCAUUCCACCAGUGCAUUUCAGGAAUGGGUUUACAGCGUGGAGCUUGUACUAUGAUUACUAUUGCUCCAGCUAACAUGCCAACCCAACCAAGAAAAAAAAGAGCCAACAAAGCCCAACGAAUCCGAAUCCACCUGCAGAAGACAGGCAAACAUAACUACAUCAGACAGACAGACUGAGAGGAAUGUAUAAAUCUGAUAAUGCUCAUAUAGGUUGCGCACCCUGGAGUACCAGCGACUUUCACAAGCUCGUCUUUGGAGAGGCCUGUGUACUUCACUGCAGUGUUCUCCGGGACGGUGACCUUCACGCAGCCAUUUUCUCGGGUCAUUAAUUGUUUUGUCUGAUCCACUUCCUUCAGUUCUAUGUCCUUCAUUUCUCCUGUUUAUAUAAGUUUGUCUAAAAACACUGAAUUAAUAAACAGAUA
RNAcentral lists this long non-coding RNA (591 nucleotides) under Danio rerio (zebrafish). RNAcentral's name for it is "si:dkey-19b23.9 (ENSDARG00000104557.2)". The record is from RNAcentral. Lineage: Eukaryota; Metazoa; Chordata; Actinopteri; Cypriniformes; Danionidae.